CACCAACAUUGUUUUGCUGGAUGUUAGAGGUUGGCGGUGUUUUCUCUCGGAGUGGAUGUGGGGACGGUGGAGGAGGCUCUCUCACAGUUCUCCAUUCUGGCCAAUUCCAAGCAACUCGACAGCACUAAGGUGGUUCUAGACAUCCAGUCCACUUCAGUUUGGCUGAGGGAUCAACAUAAACAGGUUCUGGAAGAGUUCACUCUGCCGUCUCUCCUCCGCUGUGAUUCUCUCAAUUCCGAGACUCGUUUUUCAUCCCUCCUUCUGCUCGUCACACAGAGCUCCACCCAGAAACACCCCAGCAUCCUGUUCUUCAACUGUGCACCUGCCAGGGUGAGACAUUCCAUCAGUCAAUCAAUCAAUUGAUGAACCAAUCAAGCAACCAAUCACUGAAUCGAUCGAGCA
Pygocentrus nattereri (red-bellied piranha) is the source of this 402-nucleotide long non-coding RNA. The record is from Ensembl. NCBI's taxonomy places the organism in Eukaryota, Metazoa, Chordata, Actinopteri, Characiformes, Serrasalmidae.